This 1696-nucleotide long non-coding RNA is filed under the name Homo sapiens (human). Its description in RNAcentral is "non-protein coding DCST1-AS1:18". The record is from RNAcentral. Lineage: Eukaryota; Metazoa; Chordata; Mammalia; Primates; Hominidae.
ACGCCCGCGCUGCUCAGCGCUACCGCUUCCCCGCAACUGUGCGGAGUGGGAGCCGGUGCCCGGUCCGACCGGCUUGGGCGGCGCGCCUUCACCCGGCGCCAGGUCCGGACCCCUCCCUAGUAGCUUCGCGGCCUCCCUGCCUCCUGUGCGCGGCCUGGCUCGGAGAGGUCGGGCGGGCAGGCUUUCCCGACUGCAGGCGAGGCAGUGCGCGGCUCACCCCAGUCCCCGACCCACGUGAAGCGUACAGGGCAUUUUAUUAACCGGGAAGGACGGUGCGGAAGAGCGAGCAGGACGCCUCUUCACCCCGCGUAGGCAGUGUCGUCGUUGCUGUCACUAAAGGCGGAGGAAGAGAGCUCUUCGCGGGGCGUGCAGACCGGGCACCGCUGCCGCAUGUCGUCCCAGCACGACCAGCAGUACACGGCCUCGCAGUCCAGCGUCCGGCACACGUAGGACUCGGGCGUCUCGGGUGCCUGGCACACCACGCAGCGCCGGCACAGCCAGCGGCGCAGGAGCGGGCAGCCGCGGUGCAGGAUAUCCGCCAGCGGGUGGCGCUGUUGGGAGGUGAGAAAACUGAUGCUUGGAGAUGUGAUCACUGCCCAGGGUCACCCAAUGAUAACAUGCAUGCAUAUGGAACUUGCUGCAUGCCAGCACCAUGGCCCCAAUGGUUUUUCGAAGAAGCCGGGCUAGCAUGGAGUCUCCCCCGACCUUCACCUCCAGUUUAUGACUGCCUGCGGCCAGGAGGACAGGAGUCCGCUCCCCAUGCUGUCCUCACCACAUUGCUCAUUUCUGAGGCCUGGAUGGUGGGCUUGCAAGGGAAGAUGACGGUUUUCUCCUCAGCUUUGCGGAGUGGCAGCAGAGUCCGUUUGCCCUGGAAAACAAAUGUCCACACAGUUAGGAAGCCCAAGGGCCCUCUGCCCUUUCCUCUCUGCCUUCCUGGAGCAUGAACCCACACAGGGCACACAGCAGCAAGGCAUCCCCGGGCAGUGCCGUGCCCACUCACCAGCUUCUUCCUGCGGUCAUCGAUCUGGCAGAAGUUCUCCUCAUCUAUCCCCAAACAUGGGCUUCCUUGAGGCACAGUCAUUCAACCAACCAGCCAGCAUUCAUUGAGCACCAUCUAUGUCCUGGGCACUGCUAGGGGAUGGUGAUAACAGGGAGAAGACUCUGUCCCUGCCUUCCAAUUGUGUAGAGGAAGACAUCCCCCUACAUGAUGGGUGAGACAUAGCAGAAGUGAGUAGGGGAUGAGGUGGGGGCUCAGAGGAGGGCAUGGUCAGCCUGUCUGGGAGGGAGUUGCAUGUGUGCAUCUGAGGUAGGGACAGGCAUGCAUCUUACAGGAUGAAUAUCGAGCAGAGUUACAGAGAGGGGGAAACUCCUUGAGGUUUCAGGAAUCACCUAAUCCACUGUGACUCACAAAUUCCUGCCUCUUGGCUUUGCCUGCAGCAUAUCUCCUGGAAGUGUGCUGGGGCAAAACUCAUCCCAGACCACCAUCUCCAUCCUCCCCCAAUACACCCUGGCUCUCCCUGGCUACCCUUGAGCACGGUGCACGUGUGCAUGGGUGCAUGCCUGCAUAUAUAGCUAUCCCCCAUGUAUUUCCCAAAGCCCUACAUAAUGCUUCAGUUUGCUAAGGAAAAAAUGUUAAUUACUGCAAAUGUGUUUAAAACUGUAAAAGUACAUUAAACAAACUCUGUAAAGUGUGAAA